This 2039-nucleotide ribosomal RNA is filed under the name human gut metagenome. Its description in RNAcentral is "bacterial LSU rRNA". It matches the Rfam family "Bacterial large subunit ribosomal RNA", at positions 502 to 2555 of the family's 2925-position model. The record is from RNAcentral.
CGUGAGGGAAAGGUGAAAAGAACCCCGGGAGGGGAGUGAAAUAGAACCUGAAACCGUGUGCCUACAACCGCUCAGAGCCCCUUAUGAGGGUGAUGAGGUGCUUUUUGUAGAACGAGCCAACGAGUUACGGUAUGUAGCAAGGUUAAGUACUUAAGGUACGGAGCCGAAGGGAAACCGAGUCUGAAUAGGGCGACUAGUUGCAUGCCGUAGACCCGAAACCGGGUGACCUAUCCAUGGCCAGGUUGAAGCGAGGGUAAAACCUCGUGGAGGACCGAACCACGUUGCUGUUGAAAAAGCAUGGGAUGAGCUGUGGAUAGCGGAGAAAUUCCAAUCGAACCCGGAGAUAGCUGGUUCUCUCCGAAAUAGCUUUAGGGCUAGCGUCGAGUAUGAGUAGUGGAGGUAGAGCACUGAAUGGGCUAGGGGGCAUAGCGCUUACCGAACCUUAUCAAACUCCGAAUGCCACAUACUUUGAGCUCGGCAGUCAGACUACGAAUGAUAAGAUCCGUGGUCAAAAGGGAAACAGCCCAGAUCGUCAGCUAAGGUCCCAAAGUGUAAGUUAAGUGGGAAAGGAUGUGAGAUUUCUAAGACAACUAGGAUGUUGGCUUAGAAGCAGCCAUUCAUUAAAAGAGUGCGUAAUAGCUCACUAGUCGAGAGAUCUUGCGCCGAAAAUGUAACGGGGCUAAACUUACCACCGAAGCUACGGGCUUGAACUUAGUUCAAGCGGUAGGAGAGCGUCGUAACCGGGCUGAAGUCGUACCGUAAGGAGCGGUGGACUGGUUACGAGUGAGAAUGUUGGCAUCAGUAGCGAGAUGUGGGUGAGAAUCCCACAGGCCGAAAACCUAAGGUUUCCUCAGGAAGGUUCGUCCGCUGAGGGUUAGUCGGGACCUAAGCCGAGGCCGAAAGGCGUAGGUGAUGGACAACUGGUUGAUAUUCCAGUACCACUACCAUCGUUAUUAUCGAUGGCGUGACGCAGGAGGAUAGUGUGUGCUAGCUAUUGGAUGCUAGUCUAAGCGUUUAGGCAGUGAGAGUAGGCAAAUCCGCUCUCAUAAUGCUGAGGCGUGAUGGGGAAGGUUCUACGGAACCGAAGUACAUGAUUCCACGCUGCCAAGAAAAGCGUCUAGAGAGAGAAGUAGUGCCCGUACCGCAAACCGACACAGGUAGGUGAGGAGAGAAUCCUAAGGCCGGCGGAAGAAUUACAGUUAAGGAACUCGGCAAAUUGACCCCGUAAGUUCGCGAGAAGGGGUGCCUACGAGAGUAGGCCGCAGAGAAUAGGCCCAAGCAACUGUUUAGCAAAAACACAGGUCUCUGCUAAAGCGUAAGCUGAUGUAUAGGGGCUGACGCCUGCCCGGUGCUGGAAGGUUAAGGGGAACACUUAGCGCAAGCGAAGGUGUGAACUUAAGCCCCAGUAAACGGCGGCCGUAACUAUAACGGUCCUAAGGUAGCGAAAUUCCUUGUCAGGUAAGUUCUGACCCGCACGAAUGGCGUAAUGACUUGGGCACUGUCUCAACUGUAAAUCCGGCGAAGUUGUAGUGCGAGUGAAGAUGCUCGCUACCCGCGAUUGGACGGAAAGACCCCGUAGAGCUUUACUGUAGCUUAGCAUUGAGUUUUGGUAUUGUCUGUACAGGAUAGGUGGGAGACUAGGAAACCAGGGCGUCAGCCUUGGUGGAGUCAACCUUGGGAUACCACCCUGACAGUACUGAAAUUCUAACUGGCGGCCAUGAAUCUGGUCACAGGACAUUGUUAGGUGGGCAGUUUGACUGGGGCGGUCGCCUCCUAAAAAGUAACGGAGGCGCCCAAAGGUUCCCUCAGAACGGUCGGAAAUCGUUCGAAGAGUGCAAAGGCAGAAGGGAGCCUGACUGCGACACCCACAAGUGGAGCAGGGACGAAAGUCGGGCUUAGUGAUCCGGUGGUACCUCGUGGGAGGGCCAUCGCUCAACGGAUAAAAGCUACCUCGGGGAUAACAGGCUGAUCUCCCCCAAGAGUCCACAUCGACGGGGAGGUUUGGCACCUCGAUGUCGGCUCGUCGCAUCCUGGGGCUG